CGGCUCCACGGCGAAGUCGCUGGAGAAGGAGACGCGCGGGCCCAGCGCGGCCGGCGGCUGCGGCCCGCCGCCGAACCCGGGCGCGCCGUCAGGGUUGUACAUGUUGAUGCACGCCAUCGCGCGGUGCUGUGCUGCUCUGGAUGUGGGCCGUGGGCGCGUGCUUCACUGACCUCCUUGCGCGCUUCCGCUCCUGCCUCCCUCUCGUGUGCUGUCGCCCUCGUCUUCCGCCGUGAGCUGAACAGAGGCAAGGCGAGCUGUGCUUCGCGUGCAGCAGCGCACGAUGUUGUGGUGGUGGAUUGGUGGGAGCUUUUAAAAGGUUUUUUU
Molecule: unclassified non-coding RNA, 324 nt
Filed under: Zea mays
Lineage: Eukaryota; Viridiplantae; Streptophyta; Magnoliopsida; Poales; Poaceae
Description: misc RNA Zm00001eb255770
Source: RNAcentral